This is a long non-coding RNA of Rosa rugosa (rugosa rose), 1518 nucleotides long. RefSeq lists it as uncharacterized. NCBI's taxonomy places the organism in Eukaryota, Viridiplantae, Streptophyta, Magnoliopsida, Rosales, Rosaceae. The record is from RefSeq and is a predicted model, not a curated record. The transcript has 4 exons.
UCUUAGCCUGUGGAAUCGAAUCAAGAGAGCGGCGGCCAGUCGGCGCGACUCACUUCAGAGAACGACUCCGUUGUGGGAUUCGAAGGAUUUGCCUGUAGAAGGAUUCUAGGAGUCGCCGGUCGGAGGCGAAGUAAUCUUAACUUCCCAUCGUUUGCUUUGUGGAAACCUAGACCUAAGAAUAUGCUGCUUGACUAGAAACAACAGAGCCUCAAGAUUGGCGAUGGGAUCAGUCAGUCUUUCACUUUCUUUUGCGAGUUUUUAUGCUGGACAUGGUCACUCUCUGUUACCAGGUGCUGGAGAUUUUGCUUGGGUCCACAGAUUACUUGACUUGGCGGACAUUUGGAACCUCGGCUGCAUCUUCGGUUUUCGCACGAUUUACACCUCUACAAUGUGGCUGGAUUCUUGGACUAAGAAUGAGAUGGACCUGGGUUUCUUGGUAUAUAAAUAUGCAGUGCGCUUUGGGUUGUCUUCAAAGAGCUUUUGUGACCUUAUCACUGAUAUGGGUUCUCAUGGGUGUACAGGGGUGGAAUUAUGAUUUCUUAUUUUGAAAGUUGAUGAUUAUACUUCUUGAAUCUCCAUAUAUUGCAGCUUUUUACCAUUUGGAAUUGUAUUAAUAAGGUCAUAUCUACUAUAUCAAGUUAAUCGAGAGAUGCUAGUAUGACAUGCAAGAUGUAAUAUAUACCGGUCAUGACAUUGUUGAUGCAUGUAAGAGCAGUAAGUUCCUUUAUUUGAAUCAAUAGAUUUAACUUUGACCUCAACUAGCAACCUUCCAUGGAUACAUGUCACCUCAACUAGCAAUUUGACUUAAAUGUCUACAUUGGUAUCAUUCUUUGUCACAACAUUUCUGAUACAAUCUGUUUACUUAGGUGCUGAUCUCCAAAAGGGAAUAGCCAGAGGCUCCUCUUUCCCCUGCAAUGGAUGCUGUAAUAAGAGUAUUCAAACGUGUCGCUGGAUUAUCUAAGUGUGCAGGCGAGGCAGAGUUGUCUGGUGCUGCUGGAGUUGCAUUCUGUUCCAUCCGUUUGUUGGUAGCAUCCACACAAGCGAUUAAUUUAAUUGGAAAACAAGGAUCAUUAAUCAAAUCUAUAGAGGAGAGUACCGCUGCUUCUGUGCGAGUGUUGUCUGGAGGGCCUUGGAUUACAAGUUGUGAAAUAUUUGGCUGCCAAAUAUGAAGAGCUAGGGUGUGAAGUGAAAUGGAUGGGCAAGCCUGAUAAGGUGAUCUAGUCACAUUGGUCUGGUUACCGCUGUUAACUUCACUUCAUGUGAACCUUUAGCUUAAUACAUAUUUCUCUUGCACUUGACUACUAAGAUGAAUUUUGAGCAAGGCUAGUUUUUGCUUUGAAGCAAAGUUUGGUGUUGAAAUUUUGUAGAUUGUUGCUCAUAUGUUUCUAGGCUAGCCUUUGUAGGUUUUGGGGUUUUCUUUUGUGACAUAUGUUCAAUCAUGAAUUUGGAAAGAAAAUUAAGGAGAGCCCCAAUUUUUGGAUGAUUAUGAAAUGCAUUUCUUUUCCUAGCAGCAGCUAG